CCUACGGGAGGCUGCAGUGAGGAAUAUUGGUCAAUGGGCGGGAGCCUGAACCAGCCAAGUCGCGUGAGGGAAGACGGUCCUAUGGAUUGUAAACCUCUUUAGGCGGGGAGCAAUGCCGGGCACGUGUGCCCGGAGGGAGAGUACCCGCAGAAUAAGCAUCGGCUAACUCCGUGCCAGCAGCCGCGGUAAUACGGAGGAUGCGAGCGUUAUCCGGAUUUAUGGGGUUUAAAGGGUGCGUAGGCGGAUUUUUAAGUCAGCGGUAAAAUGUCCGGGCUCAACCCGGGCCGGCCGUUGAAACUGGGGAUCUUGAGUGGGCGAGAAGUAUGCGGAAUGCGUGGUGUAGCGGUGAAAUGCAUAGAUAUCACGCAGAACUCCGAUUGCGAAGGCAGCAUACCGGCGCCCGACUGACGCUGAGGCACGAAAGCGUGGGGAUCGAACAGGAUUAGAUACCCCAGUAGUC
This 460-nucleotide ribosomal RNA is filed under the name uncultured bacterium. Its description in RNAcentral is "partial 16S ribosomal RNA". It matches the Rfam family "Bacterial small subunit ribosomal RNA", at positions 338 to 795 of the family's 1533-position model. The record is from RNAcentral.